Molecule: long non-coding RNA, 415 nt
Organism: Homo sapiens (human)
Lineage: Eukaryota; Metazoa; Chordata; Mammalia; Primates; Hominidae
Exons: 2
Source: RefSeq, a predicted model, not a curated record
AGAAGCAGCCCUAUUUUGGCAAAGAAGAAUGAAACAUCUCAGAGGCAGAGAUCCAAAUACACUUGACCCUUGAACAAUGCAAGAGGUAUAUCACUGAACAGCCCUGAACAUGGUGAGUCUAAAGAACAAAAGAGUAAAAGGAAACAAGCCCUGGGCUUCUUCCCAAUAUGCCAGGAAAGAAACAGCAGCAGGACUUUAAGAACACUGGAAAUUGGUAGGACAAUGACCUGUUUAUAAAACUCAGUUUAUUCUUAAAGAAACACUUGAUUCUAUUUCUCUUGAUAUCUCAAACUUUGCUAACUUCUAAAGAUGGCCAUUCAAAAAGAGCACGUCUAGUCAUCAUUCGCUUUGUGUGGAAAAACAUUUUUUACUCUACUUCAAAUAAAGAUGGAGCACCUUAUCUAUGAACAAACCA